GGGGGUGACAUGGCUUCGACGGGAGCAGUCGGUCAUAGGCUGCGUGCCGGCUUGAGGAACGCCGUAAAAACUCCUCAAAAAAAUAGACGCAAACAAUACAGAUUACAGACCGGCUUACGCAGUAGCUGCGUAAGUUAAGAAACUUACGGUCCCUCGCACCUAUCCCUGCCCUCUGGGAUAGGAUUUUGUGGGGUCACAUGCAAGAGGGCUUGGAUAAGCGGUUGCCUAGCCGCUUAUCGACACUUUGAGGCUGGACUACUGCAGGUUUCGGGCGCUGAGCCUGUAGUAGUCGAGAUCAAUCAGCGCUGCUACGCACGUAGAGGCCUAUGGUCGGUUGUUUCCGGACUCGGGUUCGAUUCCCGACACCUCCACCA
RNAcentral lists this transfer-messenger RNA (374 nucleotides) under Nitratiruptor tergarcus. Its description in RNAcentral is "Standard tmRNA". It matches the Rfam family "transfer-messenger RNA". Rfam says of the family: Bacterial tmRNA, also known as 10Sa RNA or SsrA, is named for its dual tRNA and mRNA-like properties. Its role is to liberate the mRNA from a stalled ribosome. Lineage: Bacteria; Pseudomonadati; Campylobacterota; Epsilonproteobacteria; Nautiliales; Nitratiruptoraceae. RNAcentral also lists the same sequence under 1 other name. The record is from RNAcentral.